GCGGGAAGAGCUCAAAUUUAUAAUCUGGCACCUUCGGUGUCCGAGUUGUAAUCUCUAGAAAUGUUUUCCGCGUUGGACCGCACACAAGUCUGUUGGAAUACAGCGGCAUAGUGGUGAGACCCCCGUAUAUGGUGCGGACGCCCAGCGCUUUGUGAUACAUUUUCGAAGAGUCGAGUUGUUUGGGAAUGCAGCUCAAAUUGGGUGGUAAAUUCCAUCUAAAGCUAAAUAUUGGCGAGAGACCGAUAGCGAACAAGUACCGUGAGGGAAAGAUGAAAAGCACUUUGGAAAGAGAGUUAACAGUACGUGAAAUUGUUGGAAGGGAAACGCUUGAAGUCAGACUUGCUUGCCGAGCAAUCGGUUUGCAGGCCAGCAUCAGUUUUCCGGGAUGGAUAAUGGUAGAGAGAAGGUAGCAGUUUCGGCUGUGUUAUAGCUCUCUGCUGGAUACAUCUUGGGGGACUGAGGAACGCAGUGUGCCU
Molecule: ribosomal RNA, 476 nt
Filed under: Rhodotorula mucilaginosa
Lineage: Eukaryota; Fungi; Basidiomycota; Microbotryomycetes; Sporidiobolales; Sporidiobolaceae
Description: partial large subunit ribosomal RNA
Rfam family: Eukaryotic large subunit ribosomal RNA
Source: RNAcentral